UGGGGUUAUGUUCUUUACUUUUUGUCUCUUACACCACCUUUUUAGUUUCUGUUCGUUGUCUUCUGGGUAGGGAGUCCACACUGAUUUUUUUCUUCUCAAGAGCCAAUAUUGGAGGCACAAUAUAAGUAUAUCAGCGGCAUGUAGGCAUUGUUAUGUUCCUUUCUGCCUUCCGUCUUCAUUAUUGGGAAAGUCAGAGCCCAACUUAUUUUCGUUUCUCAUUGACCAAAAAGAUGUUUUUUAGUUAUGGGUCAAAGUAACAUUUCGCUUGAUCCAUGAAUGGUUUAAGUAUUUGUU
Molecule: non-coding RNA, 294 nt
Organism: Lupinus albus (white lupine)
Lineage: Eukaryota; Viridiplantae; Streptophyta; Magnoliopsida; Fabales; Fabaceae
Source: the annotation of a GenBank genome assembly